This 253-nucleotide ribosomal RNA is filed under the name uncultured bacterium. Its description in RNAcentral is "partial 16S ribosomal RNA". It matches the Rfam family "Bacterial small subunit ribosomal RNA", at positions 524 to 776 of the family's 1533-position model. The record is from RNAcentral.
UACGUAGGGUGCGAGCGUUAAUCGGAAUUACUGGGCGUAAAGCGUGCGCAGGCGGUUCGUUGUGUCGGCGGUGAAAGCCCCGGGCUUAACCUGGGAAUGGCCGUUGAAACUGGCGAACUGGAGUGUGGCAGAGGGGGGUGGAAUUCCCGGUGUAGCAGUGAAAUGCGUAGAGAUCGGGAGGAACAUCAGUUGCGAAGGCGGCUCUCUGGACCAGCACUGACACUGAGGCACGAAAGCGUGGGGAGCAAACAGG